Molecule: long non-coding RNA, 2127 nt
Filed under: Mus musculus (house mouse)
Lineage: Eukaryota; Metazoa; Chordata; Mammalia; Rodentia; Muridae
Description: predicted gene 10067
Source: RNAcentral
UUUCUUCUCAUGUAGUUGUUUGCCUGUCUUCAUUUUUUUUCUUCCUCCUGGAAACACUCAGGGAGCAAAGUCAUCUUGAUACCUUCAAAGGUACCAUUCAAAAUAAAGGCAACAGUCCAGGUUAUUGUCAACUGGGAGAAGAUACUCUGUAAAUUAGGAUGUCAUCGCAGGGGAUGCUGUGUGUGUGAUGAAGGCUAUUUAAGGAAAGAUUCACUCUGCCCCAAGUGGAAGGAAGCACUGUAGCUGCCACCCAAAGCUGGAGUUUAAUCUGUACUGAAGACCCUACUGAUUUUCCUACCACCAGCUGUCAUGGAAAGCAGGUACCACACCAUGACUGGCUACAUAUAUGUCUCAGCUCCAGUGUGCAAAGAGUAUCCUGAAGGGGCUUAAAGGACUCAUUAUUGAUAAGCCUCUGCAAGACAUUCCAAAGCAGUUUAACAUCACCAGGCUGAGGUGAGAAAGCCCAAAUCACACCCAGGAAGGAGAUGCUCUGGGUCCUGAGUCCAGUGCCUUUACCCAGUAUAAGCAGCCAACACCUGCCACUGGGCCGGAUGGAAGCUCUGUGUUGUUAUCCCCAACCAAGGAGCUUAACUCACAGUUAAACUGUCGCAGCAAGAAUGGAAGACAGUGUUUGCUGGCGUGGUGGCUGGCCAACUUAACCCCAAUUAGCUUUCUCCAGAAGAUCAGGCACAUCUGCCACAGGAAGGGUACUGCAGUGCCUGCAGCGACUUGAACCUUCCUAUAUCAAUGAACAACCAAGGUGCUAUAAAAGGGCUAAGAAAGAAGUUGUUGGAACACUACCCAGUGUGUUUUGUGUGUGUGUGUCUGUCUGUCUGUGUCUCUCUGUGUGUAUCUCUAUGUGUGUCUCUGUGUGUCUGUGUGAGUGUGUGUGUCUGUGUGAGUGUGUGUGUCUGUGUGAGUGUGUGUCUGUCUGUCUGUCUGUCUGUGUCUCUGUGUGUAUUUCUGUGUGUGUCUGUGUGACUGUGUGUGUCUGUCUGUCUGUGUCUCUGUAUGUCUGUGUGAGUGUGUGUGUGUGUGUGUGUGUGUGUGUGUGUGUGUAUGUGCCUGUUUUACAUCCUUUCCAACUCCACACCUCCUUGGAUUGCUGAACACAUUCUAGAACUGACCUCCAGCACCAAAGACUCUGUGGAGCAGCCACACAGACAGCCUGCAGCACACACCCCUGACUGAGAUGUUGACUCAACAACCAUGUAUACAGCUGCUCUCUCUCACCAGUGGAUGCGUCAUCUUGACCACAGAUCUUCUUUAUAGCCAACCAUGCCUAGCUCACAGCAUGUUAGCAAGGGCAGCAUUUAUCAACCUUUCUUUUGAAAGUCACUGGGUCUUCAGGUGGUCUGACUGACAGCAGCAGAUAACUGAUGCUCUGCUAGCUGUUCAGUCCAAGUUUACAGGACUUCUUCACACCUCUUACCCAGUUUUCAUUAUCAGUUGAUGCCAAACACAAACUCUACCAUAAGUUUUCUAGCAGCUUGCAGAGUCGUAUGCCAAUACAUGUACCUUAAAGUUUGAGCAUUCGUGUUUCUGUAAGAGAAGCCUUUUAUUUCUACUUCUUAGUACAUAGAACUCACUCUUUGGCCCCGUUCUUAGCUAUGGCUCAAUUGUAAGCUUCCAGUCACCAAUGCCAUUUGUCACAAGAGCUUUCUGCACACAUGUCUUCAUUUCCCAUGUUGUUUCCAUGCUGUAGGGCUACCGUCUCUGAAGAUUCACCCAAAGAGUUGUGAGUAAUGUUACAGAUGCCAGGACCAGUCAUGGGUCCUCUUCCUUCUUUUCCUCCUCCUCUGCUUCCCUCUCUCUGUCUCCCUCUCCUCCCCUCUUCUUCUUUAUUCCUCCUCCUGGCUACAGAGUUAUAAAUGCCUCCUCUAUGUCAACGAUACCUAAAUGUGGGUCUAUAUCAUCCAGAGCACACCCCUGAAUCACCAGCAUUGUGUCCUAUUGUCUGUGUAAAGUCCUCUUGUGAAAAUCAUAGCAAAUAGGUGACACAGCAUCGGUGGUGCUUAGGAAUUACUGUUCUGGAUGGGGAAGUAGGAAAAUUGCCAUGAAGUUGAGGCUAGCCUGGACUACCCUUUGAGGUACCAAGUAAUCUGGGCUUUAGUGUUAGACACUGCC